This 2929-nucleotide ribosomal RNA is filed under the name Salmonella enterica. RNAcentral's name for it is "23S ribosomal RNA". It matches the Rfam family "Bacterial large subunit ribosomal RNA". The record is from RNAcentral. Lineage: Bacteria; Pseudomonadati; Pseudomonadota; Gammaproteobacteria; Enterobacterales; Enterobacteriaceae.
GGGUUGUGAGGUUAAGCGACUAAGCGUACACGGUGGAUGCCCUGGCAGUCAGAGGCGAUGAAGGACGUGCUAAUCUGCGAUAAGCGCCGGUAAGGUGAUAUGAACCGUUAUAACCGGCGAUUUCCGAAUGGGGAAACCCAGUGUGAUUCGUCACACUAUCAUUAACUGAAUCCAUAGGUUAAUGAGGCGAACCGGGGGAACUGAAACAUCUAAGUACCCCGAGGAAAAGAAAUCAACCGAGAUUCCCCCAGUAGCGGCGAGCGAACGGGGAGGAGCCCAGAGCCUGAAUCAGCAUGUGUGUUAGUGGAAGCGUCUGGAAAGGCGCGCGAUACAGGGUGACAGCCCCGUACACAAAAGCGCAUGUGCUGUGAGCUCGAUGAGUAGGGCGGGACACGUGGUAUCCUGUCUGAAUAUGGGGGGACCAUCCUCCAAGGCUAAAUACUCCUGACUGACCGAUAGUGAACCAGUACCGUGAGGGAAAGGCGAAAAGAACCCCGGCGAGGGGAGUGAAAAAGAACCUGAAACCGUGUACGUACAAGCAGUGGGAGCACAGGUUUACCUGUGUGACUGCGUACCUUUUGUAUAAUGGGUCAGCGACUUAUAUUCUGUAGCAAGGUUAACCGUAUAGGGGAGCCGUAGGGAAACCGAGUCUUAACCGGGCGUUAAGUUGCAGGGUAUAGACCCGAAACCCGGUGAUCUAGCCAUGGGCAGGUUGAAGGUUGGGUAACACUAACUGGAGGACCGAACCGACUAAUGUUGAAAAAUUAGCGGAUGACCUGUGGCUGGGGGUGAAAGGCCAAUCAAACCGGGAGAUAGCUGGUUCUCCCCGAAAGCUAUUUAGGUAGCGCCUCGUGAAUUCAUCUCCGGGGGUAGAGCACUGUUUCGGCUAGGGGGCCAUCCCGGCUUACCAACCCGAUGCAAACUGCGAAUACCGGAGAAUGUUAUCACGGGAGACACACGGCGGGUGCUAACGUCCGUCGUGAAGAGGGAAACAACCCAGACCGCCAGCUAAGGUCCCAAAGUCAUGGUUAAGUGGGAAACGAUGUGGGAAGGCCCAGACAGCCAGGAUGUUGGCUUAGAAGCAGCCAUCAUUUAAAGAAAGCGUAAUAGCUCACUGGUCGAGUCGGCCUGCGCGGAAGAUGUAACGGGGCUAAACCAUGCACCGAAGCUGCGGCAGCGACGCUGAUGCGUUGUUGGGUAGGGGAGCGUUCUGUAAGCCUGCGAAGGUGACCUGUGAGGGUUGCUGGAGGUAUCAGAAGUGCGAAUGCUGACAUAAGUAACGAUAAAGCGGGUGAAAAGCCCGCUCGCCGGAAGACCAAGGGUUCCUGUCCAACGUUAAUCGGGGCAGGGUGAGUCGACCCCUAAGGCGAGGCCGAAAGGCGUAGUCGAUGGGAAACGGGUUAAUAUUCCCGUACUUGGUGUUACUGCGAAGGGGGGACGGAGAAGGCUAUGUUGGCCGGGCGACGGUUGUCCCGGUUUAAGCGUGUAGGUGUGUGUUCCAGGUAAAUCCGGUUCACUUUAACACUGAGGCGUGACGACGAGGCACUACGGUGCUGAAGCAACAAAUGCCCUGCUUCCAGGAAAAGCCUCUAAGCAUCAGGUAACACGAAAUCGUACCCCAAACCGACACAGGUGGUCAGGUAGAGAAUACCAAGGCGCUUGAGAGAACUCGGGUGAAGGAACUAGGCAAAAUGGUGCCGUAACUUCGGGAGAAGGCACGCUGACACGUAGGUGAAGUGAUUUACUCAUGGAGCUGAAGUCAGUCGAAGAUACCAGCUGGCUGCAACUGUUUAUUAAAAACACAGCACUGUGCAAACACGAAAGUGGACGUAUACGGUGUGACGCCUGCCCGGUGCCGGAAGGUUAAUUGAUGGGGUCAGCGUAAGCGAAGCUCCUGAUCGAAGCCCCGGUAAACGGCGGCCGUAACUAUAACGGUCCUAAGGUAGCGAAAUUCCUUGUCGGGUAAGUUCCGACCUGCACGAAUGGCGUAAUGAUGGCCAGGCUGUCUCCACCCGAGACUCAGUGAAAUUGAACUCGCUGUGAAGAUGCAGUGUACCCGCGGCAAGACGGAAAGACCCCGUGAACCUUUACUAUAGCUUGACACUGAACAUUGAGCCUUGAUGUGUAGGAUAGGUGGGAGGCUUUGAAGUGUGGACGCCAGUCUGCAUGGAGCCGACCUUGAAAUACCACCCUUUAAUGUUUGAUGUUCUAACGUGGACCCGUAAUCCGGGUUGCGGACAGUGUCUGGUGGGUAGUUUGACUGGGGCGGUCUCCUCCUAAAGAGUAACGGAGGAGCACGAAGGUUGGCUAAUCCUGGUCGGACAUCAGGAGGUUAGUGCAAUGGCAUAAGCCAGCUUGACUGCGAGCGUGACGGCGCGAGCAGGUGCGAAAGCAGGUCAUAGUGAUCCGGUGGUUCUGAAUGGAAGGGCCAUCGCUCAACGGAUAAAAGGUACUCCGGGGAUAACAGGCUGAUACCGCCCAAGAGUUCAUAUCGACGGCGGUGUUUGGCACCUCGAUGUCGGCUCAUCACAUCCUGGGGCUGAAGUAGGUCCCAAGGGUAUGGCUGUUCGCCAUUUAAAGUGGUACGCGAGCUGGGUUUAGAACGUCGUGAGACAGUUCGGUCCCUAUCUGCCGUGGGCGCUGGAGAACUGAGGGGGGCUGCUCCUAGUACGAGAGGACCGGAGUGGACGCAUCACUGGUGUUCGGGUUGUCAUGCCAAUGGCACUGCCCGGUAGCUAAAUGCGGAAGAGAUAAGUGCUGAAAGCAUCUAAGCACGAAACUUGCCCCGAGAUGAGUUCUCCCUGAGACUUAGAGUCUCCUGAAGGAACGUUGAAGACGACGACGUUGAUAGGCCGGGUGUGUAAGCGCAGCGAUGCGUUGAGCUAACCGGUACUAAUGAACCGUGAGGCUUAACCUUACAACGCCGAAG